CUUGGUCAUUUAGAGGAAGUAAAAGUCGUAACAAGGUUUCCGUAGGUGAACCUGCGGAAGGAUCAUUACCUAGAGUUGUAGGCUUUGCCUGCUAUCUCUUACCCAUGUCUUUUGAGUACCUUACGUUUCCUCGGUGGGUUCGCCCACCGAUUGGACAAAUUUAAACCCUUUGCAGUUGAAAUCAGCGUCUGAAAAAACUUAAUAGUUACAACUUUCAACAACGGAUCUCUUGGUUCUGGCAUCGAUGAAGAACGCAGCGAAAUGCGAUAAGUAGUGUGAAUUGCAGAAUUCAGUGAAUCAUCGAAUCUUUGAACGCACAUUGCGCCCCUUGGUAUUCCAUGGGGCAUGCCUGUUCGAGCGUCAUUUGUACCUUCAAGCUCUGCUUGGUGUUGGGUGUUUGUCUCCUGUAGACUCGCCUUAAAACAAUUGGCAGCCGGCGUAUUGAUUUCGGAGCGCAGUACAUCUCGCGCUUUGCACUCAUAACGACGACAUCCAAAAGUACAUUUUUACACUCUUGACCUCGGAUCAGGUAGGGAUACCCGCUGAACUUAAGCAUA
This 557-nucleotide ribosomal RNA is filed under the name uncultured fungus. RNAcentral's name for it is "eukaryotic LSU rRNA". The stretch from base 210 to 363 matches the Rfam family "5.8S ribosomal RNA". Lineage: Eukaryota; Fungi. The record is from RNAcentral.